RNAcentral lists this transfer RNA (84 nucleotides) under Parcubacteria group bacterium CG10_big_fil_rev_8_21_14_0_10_38_31. RNAcentral describes it as "tRNA-Tyr". It matches the Rfam family "tRNA". From Rfam's summary of the family: Transfer RNA (tRNA) molecules are approximately 80 nucleotides in length. Their secondary structure includes four short double-helical elements and three loops (D, anti-codon, and T loops). The record is from RNAcentral.
GGGUAGGUGGCGGAGUGGUCAAUCGCACCAGACUGUAAAUCUGGCGGCUUUAUGCCUUCGGGGGUUCAAAUCCCUCCCUGCCCA